GGUUAAGCGACUAAGCGUACACGGUGGAUGCCCUGGCAGUCAGAGGCGAUGAAGGACGUGCUAAUCUGCGAAAAGCGUCGGUAAGGUGAUAUGAACCGUUACAGCCGGCGAUGUCCGAAUGGGGAAACCCAGUGCAAUUCGUUGCACUAUCGUUAACUGAAUACAUAGGUUAACGAGGCGAACCGGGGGAACUGAAACAUCUAAGUACCCCGAGGAAAAAAAAUCAACCGAGAUUCCCCCAGUAGCGGCGAGCGAACGGGGAGCAGCCCAGAGUCUGAAUCAGCUUGUGUGUUAGUGGAACGGUCUGGAAAGUCCGACGGUACAGGGUGAUAGUCCCGUACACCAAAAUGCACAGGCUGUGAACUCGAAGAGUAGGGCGGGACACGUGGUAUCCUGUCUGAAUAUGGGGGGACCAUCCUCCAAGGCUAAAUACUCCUGACUGACCGAUAGUGAACCAGUACCGUGAGGGAAAGGCGAAAAGAACCCCGGCGAGGGGAGUGAAAAAGAACCUGAAACCGUGUACGUACAAGCAGUGGGAGCACCUUCGGGUGUGACUGCGUACCUUUUGUAUAAUGGGUCAGCGACUUAUAUUCUGUAGCAAGGUUAACCGUAUAGGGGAGCCGCAGGGAAACCGAGUCUUAACUGGGCGUUAAGUUGCAGGGUAUAGACCCGAAACCCGGUGAUCUAGCCAUGGGCAGGUUGAAGGUUGGGUAACACUAACUGGAGGACCGAACCGACUAAUGUUGAAAAAUUAGCGGAUGACUUGUGGCUGGGGGUGAAAGGCCAAUCAAACCGGGAGAUAGCUGGUUCUCCCCGAAAGCUAUUU
Molecule: ribosomal RNA, 826 nt
Filed under: Klebsiella pneumoniae
Lineage: Bacteria; Pseudomonadati; Pseudomonadota; Gammaproteobacteria; Enterobacterales; Enterobacteriaceae
Description: partial 23S ribosomal RNA
Rfam family: Bacterial large subunit ribosomal RNA
Source: RNAcentral